UAUAUCACAUUGAAAAACCAGUUCCUGUAUGAUCCCUGAAGUUAAGCAAUUUUGAGUCAGUUCCUAGAUGGGUGACCAAUUGGGAAUACCAGGUGUUGCAAU
This is a non-coding RNA of Acanthosepion pharaonis, 102 nucleotides long. The record is from the annotation of a GenBank genome assembly. NCBI's taxonomy places the organism in Eukaryota, Metazoa, Mollusca, Cephalopoda, Sepiida, Sepiidae.